This 224-nucleotide ribosomal RNA is filed under the name uncultured Actinomycetales bacterium. Its description in RNAcentral is "partial 16S ribosomal RNA". It matches the Rfam family "Bacterial small subunit ribosomal RNA", at positions 106 to 334 of the family's 1533-position model. The record is from RNAcentral. Lineage: Bacteria; Bacillati; Actinomycetota; Actinomycetes; Actinomycetales.
GUGAGUAACACGUGGGUGAUCUGCCCUGCACUCUGGGAUAAGCCUGGGAAACUGGGUCUAAUACCGGAUAGGACCAUGCUUUAGCGUGUGUGGUGGAAAGUUUUUCGGUGUAGGAUGAGCCCGCGGCCUAUCAGCUUGUUGGUGGGGUAAUGGCCUACCAAGGCGGCGACGGGUAGCCGGACUGAGAGGUUGGUCGGCCACAUUGGGACUGAGAUACGGCCCAG